CCCAGUUGGAGGAAAAUGUCGGAUUGGGGCCCAGUGUUCGUGGCAGUGGUGCUGUUCGUGCUCUUAACUCCUGGGUUGCUGUUUCAGGUUCCAGGGCGCCACCGGUGCGUCGAGUUUGGGAAUUUCCAGACCAGUGGUGCUUCUAUUAUGAUCCAUUCUCUGCUUUAUUUCGCUCUUGUUUGUGUCUUCUUCCUGGCUGUUAAGGUUCACUUGUACCUUGGUUAGUAACGUUGGUGCUGGCCCAAGUUGCUUGCUAGUGAGGGUAGUGAAUAAUUACAAGAUGUUUUCUUUUA
RNAcentral lists this unclassified non-coding RNA (293 nucleotides) under Hevea brasiliensis (rubber tree). The record is from RNAcentral. Lineage: Eukaryota; Viridiplantae; Streptophyta; Magnoliopsida; Malpighiales; Euphorbiaceae.